This 914-nucleotide long non-coding RNA is filed under the name Bos taurus (domestic cattle). Its description in RNAcentral is "long non-coding RNA NONBTAT022272". The record is from RNAcentral. Lineage: Eukaryota; Metazoa; Chordata; Mammalia; Artiodactyla; Bovidae.
UUCAGCUACAGUCUAGAUGCUUUGUUUGUAACCCCAUUAAUCCAGCCCUAUAAAGCAGGACCCUUAAGUGGUAGCUUCUGCAGCCAUUUACAUAGCACGGCCAUCACUUACUGCAGCAAGUGCACACCCCUCUAGAAUUCCUCUUAUUAGGUCCUCUCACUGACAACAUUGAGUAAAUAAUAAUUUUUAGUAUGAUUUCUACUUACAUAAUUCAUUUAGUAAUUCGGGGUUUUGACUUGUAAACAUACCUGUAGGAUUUUUUAGGUCCCUUUGGAUUUUUGCAAUAAAUGUAUUCCCAUCAGCUUCUGUGUGUGUGUUCCAACAAACAUUCCUGUUUAUAUUUUGGGCUGCAUUUGAAAUUGUUAAUUCUUUUGAGAAAAUUCCUUGAAUUUACUCUGUAGGUUUAUAAAACUCAGCCAUUUGUAUACUGUAGUUGGGAAAUAGUAUCUGUACAACUGGACACUUAAUGUUGGCCUCCUGAGUUUGAGAAUGGAGGAUUCACCAUCUUUUCAGUUAUUAGUUCACUUGUUUUUCCUUUGUUUUUAAACUAUUAUCCAAAUGGCAAACAAUCCGAAAUGUUUUGCACUGAAAAUGUGUUUUUUAGGUGUCCUGAUUGUUUAGUAUGUUUUAUUUACCUUUAAGACCAAAUUCUUCCAUGGACAAGAAAAUAUCAAUAAACACCCAUAGAGAUGCAAUCCUUAAACUUGGGACAUAUGGGAAAACUGAAUUUAAGGAAUUUAUCAAUAGGAUAACAGCAGUUUUGGAUUAACGUGUUUUGUGUAGUAUGCUUAGUAUUAGAGUAUUCAAGAAUCUUGGAAUAUUUAUUAAGCAAAGAAUUUACUGAUUUCCUGUGCUCCUUUGUAUACUGAGAAGGUUUCCUCACAUCACAAAUUUAUAUUUUAGAAGUAUCCCCU